RNAcentral lists this ribosomal RNA (252 nucleotides) under uncultured prokaryote. RNAcentral describes it as "partial 16S rRNA". It matches the Rfam family "Archaeal small subunit ribosomal RNA", at positions 475 to 726 of the family's 1478-position model. The record is from RNAcentral.
ACCGGCGGCUCGAGUGGUGGCCACUAUUACUGGGCUUAAAGCGUUCGUAGCUGGCUUGUUAAGUCUCUGGGGAAAUCUUCCGGCUCAACCGGAAGGCGUCUCAGGGAUACUGGCAGGCUAGGGACCGGAAGGGGGGGGGGGUACGCCAGGGGUAAGGGGUAAAACCCGUAAUCCCUGGGGGGACACCCUUGGCCGAGGGGGCCCACCAAGACGGGUCCCGCAGUUGAGAAAGGAAACUUGGGGAGCAAACCG